Molecule: non-coding RNA, 156 nt
Filed under: Lepisosteus oculatus (spotted gar)
Lineage: Eukaryota; Metazoa; Chordata; Actinopteri; Semionotiformes; Lepisosteidae
Description: Eukaryotic large subunit ribosomal RNA
Rfam family: Eukaryotic large subunit ribosomal RNA
Source: Rfam by way of RNAcentral
AUAACUCACUAGUAGCAGCCAAGUGUUCUUAAUGAUGUCUCUUUUUGAUCCUUGUGUGUUUGCUCUGCCUACCAUUGUGAAGCUGAAUUCACCAAGUCUUGGAUCGUUCACUCACUAAUAAAGAAUGUCAGUUGAGAUCAGACCAUUGUGAGGGUU